RNAcentral lists this ribosomal RNA (183 nucleotides) under uncultured insect microflora 9. Its description in RNAcentral is "partial 16S ribosomal RNA". The record is from RNAcentral.
GGCUGCUGGCAGGUGAUUAGCCGGUACUUAUUCUUUUAAUAAAUUCAAUAAUUUGAAUUAUUAGUUCAAAAUACUUAUUCUUAAAAAAAAGCGCUUUACAGUUUCCCUUAAUCGCGCACGNNCAUUGCUGGAUCAAGCUUGCGCUCAUUGUCCAAUAUUCCCCACCGCUGUCUCCCGUAGAGG